GAUAAAGAUAAGUUACUAAGGGCGUAUGGCGGAUGCCUAGGCUCUCAGAGGCGAAGAAGGACGUGACAAGCUGCGAUAAGCCAUGGGGAGGCGCAAAUAGCCGGUAUAUCCGUGGAUUUCCGAAUGGGGCAACCCGGCCGCAAGGUCACCGCGCUUAUGGCGCGGGGCAAACCCGCUGAACUGAAACAUCUAAGUAGGCGGAGGAAGAGAAAACAAAAGUGAUUCCCUGAGUAGUGGCGAGCGAAAGGGGAUUAGCCCAAACCGUCGCUGUUUCGGCAGUGGCGGGGUUGUAGGACUGCGACAAGUGAGCAAGCGGGAAAUGGAACCACCUGGAAAGGCGGGCCAGAGCGGGUGAGAGCCCCGUACAUGUAACCGGUUGCAGGCGAGCAGUAUCCUGAGUAGUGCGGGGCACGUGAAACCCUGUGCGAAUCCGGCGGGACCAUCCGCCAAGGCUAAAUACUCCUGAGAGACCGAUAGUGAACUAGUACCGUGAGGGAAAGGUGAAAAGCACCCCGAACAGGGGAGUGAAACAGAACCUGAAACCGUACGCCUACAAGCGGUCGGAGCACCUAUGCGGUGUGACGGCGUGCCUUUUGCAUAAUGAGCCUACGAGUUACUCCUCACUAGCGAGGUUAAGCCUUUAAGGGGCGCAGCCGAAGCGAAAGCGAGUCUGAACAGGGCGUUCAGUUAGUGGGGGUAGACGCGAAACCGUGUGAUCUACCCAUGGCCAGGUUGAAGUUCCGGUAAAACGGAAUGGAGGACCGAACCCGUUGACGUUGAAAAGUCUUGGGAUGAGCUGUGGGUAGGGGUGAAAGGCCAAUCAAACUCGGAAAUAGCUCGUACUCCCCGAAAUGCAUUUAGGUGCAGCCUCGUAACAGUGUCACAGAGGUAAAGCUACUGAUAAGGCUAGGGGGCUUCACCGCCUACCAACCCUUGAUAAACUCUGAAUGCUGUGACAUGGUUUACGGGAGUGAGGGCGCGGGUGCUAAGGUCCGCGCCCGAGAGGGAAAGAACCCAGACCAUCAGCUAAGGUCCCCAAAUAUAUGCUAAGUUGACCAAACGUGGUCCGGCUGCAGUGACAGCUAGGAUGUUGGCUUGGAAGCAGCCAUUCAUUUAAAGAGUGCGUAACAGCUCACUAGUCGAGCGGCUGGGCGUGGAUAAUAAUCGGGCAUAAGCAUAUUACCGAAGCUAUGGUACCGCUUAGGCGGUAGGUAGGGGAGCAUUCCGGCGGCGCAGAAGCUGUGGCUUGAGCCAUGGUGGAGCUUCCGGAAAAGCAAAUGUAGGCAUAAGUAACGAUAAUGCGGGCGAGAAACCCGCACACCGAAAGACUAAGGUUUCCUGAUCAACGCUAAUCGGAUCAGGGUUAGUCGGGGCCUAAGGCGGACCCGCAAGGGGCAGCCGAUGGACAACUGGUCAAUAUUCCAGUACUUCAGAUACUGCGAUGGGGUGACGAAGAUGUGAAAGUACCGCGCACUGACGGAAUAGUGCGUUGAAGGGUGUAGGUGCUGACUGCUGCAGGCAAAUCCGCAGCGGGAGCCGAACCUGAAAGUACCGCGAGCCUCCGGGCGAGCGGAUAGCGUACCUAACCGGGCUUCCGAGAAAACCCCCUAAGCUCCAGGUAUCUGCAACCCGUACCGCAAACCGACACAGGUAGUCGAGGAGAGGAUCCUAAGGUGCUCGAGUGAAUCAUGGCCAAGGAACUAGGCAAAAUAACCCCGUAACUUCGGGAGAAGGGGAUCCCGCAGCAAUGCGGGACGCAGAGAAAUGGCCCAAGCGACUGUUUAUCAAAAACACAAGGCUUUGCGAAAACGAAAGUUGAUGUAUAAGGCCUGACACCUGCCCGGUGCUGGAAGGUUAAGAGGAGAUGUCAUCCGCAAGGAGAAGCAUUGAAUUGAAGCCCCAGUAAACGGCGGCCGUAACUAUAACGGUCCUAAGGUAGCGAAAUUCCUUGUCGGGUAAGUUCCGACCUGCACGAAUGGUGUAACGACUUGGGCACUGUCUCAGCCAUGAGCUCGGUGAAAUUGUAGUAGCGGUGAAGAUGCCGCUUACCCGCAACGGGACGGAAAGACCCCGUGCACCUUUACUAUAGCUUAACAUUGUUCUUGGGUAAGUGAUGUGUAGGAUAGGCCGGAGGCUGUGAAGCGGUGCCGCCAGGUAUCGUGGAGCCGGCGUUGAAAUACGGCCCUUUGCUUAUCUGGGGACUAACCACGCCCGCGUGGGACAGUGUUUGGUGGGUAGUUUGACUGGGGUGGUCGCCUCCAAAAGAGUAACGGAGGCUCCUAAAGGUUCCCUCAGCAUGGUUGGUAAUCAUGCGCAGAGCGCAAUGGCAGAAGGGAGCUUGACUGUGAGGCAUACAAGCCGAGCAGGUACGAAAGUAGAGCAUAGUGAUCCGGUGGUUCCGCAUGGAAGGGCCAUCGCUCAAAGGAUAAAAGGUACGCCGGGGAUAACAGGCUGAUCGCUCCCAAGAGCUCAUAUCGACGGAGCGGUUUGGCACCUCGAUGUCGGCUCGUCACAUCCUGGGGCUGGAGAAGGUCCCAAGGGUUAGGCUGUUCGCCUAUUAAAGUGGCACGCGAGCUGGGUUCAGAACGUCGUGAGACAGUUCGGUCCCUAUCUGUUGUGGGCGUCGGAAAUUUGAGGGGAGCUGCCGUUAGUACGAGAGGACCGCGGUGGACGAACCUCUAGUGUACCUGUUGUGGCGCCAGCUGCACCGCAGGGUAGCUACGUUCGGAAGGGAUAAGUGCUGAAAGCAUCUAAGCACGAAGCCCACCUCAAGAUGAGAUUUCCUUUAAGGGUCGUUGGAGACUACGACGUUGAUAGGCUGCAGGUGUAAAGGCGGUGACGUCUGAGCCGAGCAGUACUAAUUACCCGUGGGCUUACUUUG
This 2881-nucleotide ribosomal RNA is filed under the name Bacteroidetes bacterium GWF2_40_13. Its description in RNAcentral is "23S ribosomal RNA". It matches the Rfam family "Bacterial large subunit ribosomal RNA". Lineage: Bacteria; Pseudomonadati; Bacteroidota. The record is from RNAcentral.